UUCAGCUCUGCUACUCAGAGUCACCUUUACUCAGUGAGUCAUGGCAAGAAGGUGAUGCCCUAGAUAGCCCUCCACAGUCUCUCUUUGUCCAUGUUCCAGAACCUGUUCUGCCUCACUGCUGCUUUGGGCCUAGAGGUGGGAAGACUCGCUCAGCUCUCAGUGUACUGCAGCAUCCUGUAUAUUUGCUCUACAAUCUGCCUGCACCCUUGCAGAACACGCCUUUAGUUAUUGCUCUGCCAGUUACUCAACUUGACUGUGGCAUCAGCUGGCAGUGUCCUAAUCCCUGACCUUGCACCAGGUGUGUAGAUGAUGCUGAAGUACAUGGACUUUUGUCUUCUUUAUCAGUCAAUGCAUUUUUUAGCCGCAAUGUGAGAUGUGAACAACCAAACUUGUCACUAGCCCGCCAUGUCAUAUUCCCAGUGAGUAUUGUGGGCCAGCCGGAG
Molecule: long non-coding RNA, 443 nt
Filed under: Fukomys damarensis (Damara mole-rat)
Lineage: Eukaryota; Metazoa; Chordata; Mammalia; Rodentia; Bathyergidae
Description: lncRNA (ENSFDAG00000031840.1)
Source: RNAcentral